CAGCAGCCACGGGAAUACGGAGGGUGCAAGCGUUACUCGGAAUCACUGGGCGUAAAGGACGCGUAGGCGGAUUAUCAAGUCUCUUGUGAAAUCUAACGGCUUAACCGUUAAACUGCCUGGGAAACUGAUAAUCUAGAGUAAGGGAGAGGCAGAUGGAAUUCUUGGUGUAGGGGUAAAAUCCGUAGAGAUCAAGAAGAAUACCCAUUGCGAAAGCGAUCUGCUGGAACUUAACUGACGCUAAUGCGUGAAAGCGUGGGGAGCAAACAGGAUUAGAUACCCCGGUAGUCCCUGUCUCUUAUAC
This 301-nucleotide ribosomal RNA is filed under the name uncultured bacterium. RNAcentral describes it as "partial 16S ribosomal RNA". It matches the Rfam family "Bacterial small subunit ribosomal RNA", at positions 509 to 807 of the family's 1533-position model. The record is from RNAcentral.